This 2636-nucleotide long non-coding RNA is filed under the name Triticum aestivum (bread wheat). Its description in RNAcentral is "long non-coding RNA (TAES_LNC025320)". The record is from RNAcentral. Lineage: Eukaryota; Viridiplantae; Streptophyta; Magnoliopsida; Poales; Poaceae.
UUAUUUUCUGUAUGUAUGGUUUGCCCGUGCGCCGUGCCUGCCGUUCGAGCCACCUGGAGGAUUUCCUCAAGUGUUUGAUGUUGUCCUUGACGAGGAUUGCUUCAUGUGGAUGGUGAGUUGUAUCAAUCAUUUCUUUAUAGCUAUAUUUUCUUUGUAGACAUCAAUAUAUCCGUAUAUGUUUACUUAGUUUCUGCAUUUCUUUUGUAUAAUCAUGGCUAAUACGGAACUCGUUGAAUUAAGGGUUCGUUCCCCAUUCUUUGACUAGGUUGUCUUUGUUUGUAGUUAUAUUAAUCAUUUAUUUUAUAGAUUGUGUUAAGGGCAAUUUUCUUGUAUUGGAUUUGUGCAAUUUGUAAAAAGGAUUUUUAUAGGUUGUAUUAAGGAUUAAUGUUGUGUUUACAUUAGAAGUUUUCUUUGUCAGAAAAUAAAAAACAUACUUUCUUUAGUUUACUUGUGUACAAGUUUUAUCUGUAUAAAUUAGAGCUACCCAUGCUUCCCUUUUGAAAUACACUGAUGUAAACACAACAUCAUGAAGUUUUAGUUCUGGUAGUUUUUGGUGAAUUAACUUGUUUUAAUCAGCUUGAAACUGUACUAAUUUUUCCAUAGUUCAUCCUAUGAUUUCUUCUUUUUUGGUACCUUUGUGGAUGUGUAUUUGUAAAAAAUAUGUAUGUGUGAGUUUUAUCUGUAUAUUAAUGUUUUUUUCUAACCAUGAUGUUUUGGCUAGUAUAUCUAGUAUGUCUAGAAAUUUUUAAAGAUAGCAGUACCAUUUGUUAUUUUUUGCAGUUAUUCUUUAUGUGCAAGUUUCAUGUAAGACUAGUAUAAUAUAAUUUUUUAUUACACUAGCUUGAUAUUGUUCUUAAAUUUUCAUAGUCUACCUAUCUGUUUUUUAUAUGUUAAUUAUGUUUUUGAAUUGAUAACUACAACAUCUAUUUUGUUAACUUAUUAUAAGAGCCUAAGUAUGCAUGUAGUGUACAUUUAUAUCUCCCCAAUGUUUUUGCUGCUACAAGUUUAGUUCUCCCUACUUGCAAAUUUUACGGAGGUGUUGUGCCUUAGCCGUUUUCAAUCAGUUUGUAAUUGAACUAGGGGGUAGAUGCUACGUUUAACUUUUCUAAUUAUGUAGACAUGCUAUUUGUACUAUUUUUUUUCAUAUGUUGCUCUUAACCAACAAUUGCAAGUUUAGAUUUAUGUAUAUGCAAGUUUAGUUCGUAUGAAGAAAUUUUUUAAUCUCUGAUUUUAGGGUGGUUUUCUGCUCUACUUGUAGUUCGACAACUUGUAUUACAAACAGGCGCAAUUUUACUUCUUAUGAUUAAAUUUUCAAUUUCUGCCUUUAGGUGGGUGUUCUGCCUUUCUUGUAGUUCAACAUUUUUUGUACAAGUACAAACAUGUUAUUUUUUAGUGUAGUAUGAAUUUGUAUUGUUCAAUUCUCUGAAUUUCUGACAGCAAAUGUACAUUCAAGUGUUCACGCUAUUUUUUUCUAUUUCUGGUUACAUCAUUUUUUUGCUGGGCACUAAAGAGAUAGAAUAUAACUUUUCUAAUUAUGUGUUGUUGUUGAACAACUACUACAAGUUUAGUUCUCCCUACUUGCAAAAUUUACCGAGGUGUUCUGCCUUAGCUGUUUUCAAACAUUUUGUAAUUGAACUAGGGGGGUAGAUGUUACGUUUAACUUUUCUAAUUAUGUAGACAUGCUAUUUGCACUAUUUUUUUAUGUUGCUCUUGACCAACAAUUGCAAGUUCAGAUUUAUGUAUAUGCAAGUUUAGUUCAUAUGAAGAAAUUUUUUAAAUUCUGAUUUUAGGGUGGUGUUCUGCUCUACUUAUUCAACAACUUGUAUUACAAACAGGCGCAAUUUUACUUCUUAUGAUUAAACUUUCAAUUUCUGCCUUUAGGUGGGUGUUCUGCUUUUCUUGUAGUUCAACAUCUUUUAGUACAAGUACAAACAUGUUGUUUUUAGUCAUAAGUUAUAGUAUGAAUUUGUAUUGUUCAAUUGUUUGAAUUUCUAACAGCAAAUGUGUAUUCUGGUGUUGUCACUAUCUUUUUCUAGUUCCAGUUACAUCAUUUUUUGCUGGGCAGUAAAGAGACAUAAUAUAACUUUUCUAAUUAUUUGUUGUUGUUGAACAACUACUACAAGUUUAGUUCUCCCUACAAGAACUUUGGGCAAUCGGAGGAGAAGGACGUAGCAUGGAAGAAAUGGAGAGGAUGGAGAUCUAUCGAGACACAAGAGGGCGGAAGUAUCUGAGUUUUGUUCAGGCGUCCAUGGUGGCGCUGGUGAUGGGGGAAGGAGGGACAAGGAAGAAGACCUAGUUAUAUGUCCGUGAGCUGGAUCCAGAUCUCUGAAGGUAGUGGGUUUGGUUUCUUAGCAGGGUCAGGCCCGUUUAAUUUUGGGUUGUAUAGAUGGCAAAACAUCAAAAGGGGUUUCAGCGCUGGAUCAGUGAUGUUUUUUUUCUUUUGGGCUGAUUCGACUGACGCUUAGUUCGGGUCAGGCAAUUUUCUUUUGCUUUCCAUCAUUCUGCUCUUCUUUAGGAAUCGACUGACACAAUUGUAGAGUCAGUCGAUUGACUUGUAGCCGCUCCCUUUCUUCGCCGGCCUCAUCGCCUCGCGAAGCCCCCGCGUCAGACCUCAACUUGCUUCUGCUGACGCCAUC